GAUGAACGCUGGCGGCGUGCCUAAUACAUGCGAGUCGAGCGAACAGAUGAGGAGCUUGCUCCUCUGACGUUAGCGGCGGACGGGUGAGUAACACGUGGAUAACCUACCUAUAAGACUGGGAUAACUUCGGGAAACCGGAGCUAAUACCGGAUAAUAUAUUGAACCGCAUGGUUCAAUAGUGAAAGACGGUUUUGCUGUCACUUAUAGAUGGAUCCGCGCCGCAUUAGCUAGUUGGUAAGGUAACGGCUUACCAAGGCAACGAUGCGUAGCCGACCUGAGAGGGUGAUCGGCCACACUGGAACUGAGACACGGUCCAGACUCCUACGGGAGGCAGCAGUAGGGAAUCUUCCGCAAUGGGCGAAAGCUUGACGGAGCAACGCCGCGUGAGUGAUGAAGGUCUUCGGAUCGUAAAACUCUGUUAUUAGGGAAGAACAAAUGUGUAAGUAACUAUGCACGUCUUGGCGGUACCUAAUCAGAAAGCCACGGCUAACUACGUG
This 497-nucleotide ribosomal RNA is filed under the name uncultured bacterium. RNAcentral's name for it is "partial 16S ribosomal RNA". It matches the Rfam family "Bacterial small subunit ribosomal RNA", at positions 28 to 507 of the family's 1533-position model. The record is from RNAcentral.